RNAcentral lists this long non-coding RNA (201 nucleotides) under Linum usitatissimum (flax). RNAcentral's name for it is "long non-coding RNA (LUSI_LNC000019)". Lineage: Eukaryota; Viridiplantae; Streptophyta; Magnoliopsida; Malpighiales; Linaceae. The record is from RNAcentral.
GAGUGGAGUUGGUUCGGUUCGGUUUAAUUUAGGUUAAUCGGUUGGUCAUCAGUUUUUAGUCUGAGUAGAUUAGUUUAGUUUAGUUUUAGUUUAAUGGGUUCGUUUAGAUUAUAAAGAGUUUAGUGCCUUUUUUAGUUUUAUAAUUUUGUUUUUUUCAAUGAAUUCAGUAUUAUUUUUUGUUUAAUCGUAUAUAUCUAUUAA